This 653-nucleotide ribosomal RNA is filed under the name Staphylococcus sp. Its description in RNAcentral is "bacterial SSU rRNA". It matches the Rfam family "Bacterial small subunit ribosomal RNA", at positions 47 to 682 of the family's 1533-position model. Lineage: Bacteria; Bacillati; Bacillota; Bacilli; Caryophanales; Staphylococcaceae. The record is from RNAcentral.
CCUAAUACAUGCAAGUCGAGCGAACAGACGAGGAGCUUGCUCCUCUGACGUUAGCGGCGGACGGGUGAGUAGCACGUGGAUAACCUACCUAUAAGACUGGGAUAACUUCGGGAAACCGGAGCUAAUACCGGAUAAUAUAUUGAACCGCAUGGUUCAAUAGUGAAAGACGGUUUUGCUGUCACUUAUAGAUGGAUCCGCGCCGCAUUAGCUAGUUGGUAAGGUAACGGCUUACCAAGGCAACGAUGCGUAGCCGACCUGAGAGGGUGAUCGACCACACUGGAACUGAGACACGGUCCAGACUCCUACGGGAGGCAGCAGUAGGGAAUCUUCCGCAAUGGGCGAAAGCCUGACGGAGCAACGCCGCGUGAGUGAUGAAGGUCUUCGGAUCGUAAAACUCUGUUAUUAGGGAAGAACAAAUGUGUAAGUAACUAUGCACGUCUUGACGGUACCUAAUCAGAAAGCCACGGCUAACUACGUGCCAGCAGCCGCGGUAAUACGUAGGUGGCAAGCGUUAUCCGGAAUUAUUGGGCGUAAAGCGCGCGUAGGCGGUUUUUUAAGUCUGAUGUGAAAGCCCACGGCUCAACCGUGGAGGGUCAUUGGAAACUGGAAAACUUGAGUGCAGAAGAGGAAAGUGGAAUUCCAUGUGUAGCGGU